Molecule: transfer RNA, 99 nt
Rfam family: tRNA
About the family: Transfer RNA (tRNA) molecules are approximately 80 nucleotides in length. Their secondary structure includes four short double-helical elements and three loops (D, anti-codon, and T loops).
Source: Rfam
GCCCGGUUAGCUCAAUCGGUAGAGCGUGAGACUCUUAGAUACCCUCUGGGUGAUGAGUACGCGAUCUCAAGGUUGCGGGUUCGACCCCCGCAUCGGGCU